UGGUCAUUACACAUUGAAACACCGCUUCUCAUGGAAUCACCAAAGUUAAACAACAUUGAGCCUGGUCUAGUACUUAGAUGGGUGAGCAUUUAGGAAUACCAUGUGCUGUAAG
This is a non-coding RNA of Acanthosepion pharaonis, 112 nucleotides long. The record is from the annotation of a GenBank genome assembly. NCBI's taxonomy places the organism in Eukaryota, Metazoa, Mollusca, Cephalopoda, Sepiida, Sepiidae.